Long non-coding RNA from Gymnogyps californianus (California condor), 503 nucleotides. RefSeq lists it as uncharacterized. Lineage: Eukaryota; Metazoa; Chordata; Aves; Accipitriformes; Cathartidae. The transcript has 4 exons. The record is from RefSeq and is a predicted model, not a curated record.
GUACUAGGAAUAUAGACAUUUAUUGGACUUUACAGAGACAUACAUCAGAGCAGAGCUCUUUAGAUUUCCAGAAGCCUGAUGAGAGUCCUUUCAUUUCCUGUUUCACAACAUCUCUCCAUUCAUCGUGUGACGCUGCCUGUGCCUGCUCUGCUUCCUAUUGCUGGGCAGUCAUUCUAUUGACAUUCAGGAGUUCCAGACUAGGACAAGAAGAGGAAGAUGAGAGCGGGGAUGUCAGGAAAAGCAAAUGUUGAGAGGGAUCCCUUUGACAAGAUGGUAUGCUUUAAAUGACUUGAGUAUGCUUCAGCUAGAAGCUGUGGAAGAUGUUUCAUAAGCCUCAAGAAGAGGGUGCUUUGCCUCCAAGAGACAAAAUGGAUUUGGUUCGCUGACCUUUCCUUGUUAUCAAAAACUGGACAUCUGAAUGUUAAAACGAAGUUUCAAUUGGUUUCCCUAGCAUCCGCUCCUUGAGUCAAUGAUGUAUCAAAUCGAUGAUGUUGAGCUAUAUU